AGAGUUUGAUCAUGGCUCAGAUUGAACGCUGGCGGCAUGCUUAAUACAUGCAAGUCGAACGGUAACAGAUUCUUCGGAAUGCUGACGAGUGGCGGACGGGUGAGUAAUACAUAGGAAUCUGCCCAUGUAGUGGGGGACAACUUGGGGAAACUCAAGCUAAUACCGCAUAAUUCCUACGGGAUAAAGAGGGCCACUGCUUGCAAGCUCUUGCUACUGGAUGAGCCUAUGUCGGAUUAGUUAGUUGGUAAGGUAAUGGCUUACCAAGACAGCGAUCCGUAGCUGGUUUGAGAGGAUGAUCAGCCACACUGGGACUGAGACACGGCCCAGACUCCUACGGGAGGCAGCAGUAGGGAGUAUUGGACAAUGGGCGCAAGCCUGAUCCAGCAAUGCCGCGUGUGUGAAGAAGGCCUGCGGGUUGUAAAGCACUUUCAAUUGGGAAGAAAGAUUAUGAGUUAAUACCUUAUAAUAUUGACGUCACCAAUACAAGAAGCACCGGCUAACUCUGUGCCAGCAGCCGCGGUAAUACAGAGGGUGCGAGCGUUAAUCGGAAUUACUGGGCGUAAAGAGUACGUAGGUGGUUAAAUCAGUCGGAUGUGAAAGUCCCAGGCUUAACUUGGGAAUUGCAUUCGAUACUAUUUGACUAGAGUACGGUAGAGAGAAGUGGAAUUCCUAGUGUAGCGGUGAAAUGCGUAGAUAUUAGGAAGAACACCAGUGGCGAAGGCGGCUUCUUGGAUCGAUACUGACACUGAGGUACGAAAGCGUGGGGAGCAAACAGGAUUAGAUACCCUGGUAGUCCACGCCCUAAACGAUGAGAACU
Molecule: ribosomal RNA, 817 nt
Filed under: uncultured bacterium
Lineage: Bacteria
Description: bacterial SSU rRNA
Rfam family: Bacterial small subunit ribosomal RNA
Source: RNAcentral